UCCGUGCCAGCAGCCGCGGUAAUACGGAGGGUGCAAGCGUUGUCCGGAAUCAUUGGGCGUAAAGAGUUCGUAGGUGGUUUGUUAAGUUUGGUGUUAAAUGCAGAGGCUCAACUUCUGUUCGGCAUCGGAUACUGGCAGACUAGAAUGCGGUAGAGGUAAAGGGAAUUCCUGGUGUAGCGGUGAAAUGCGUAGAUAUCAGGAGGAACAUCGGUGGCGUAAGCGCUUUACUGGGCCGUAAUUGACACUGAGGAACGAAAGCCAGGGUAGCAAAUGGGAUUAGAUACCCCAGUAGUCCUGGCCGUAAACGAUGGAUACUAGGUGUUGCGGGUAUCGACCCCUGCAGUGCCGUAGCUAACGCGUUAAGUAUCCCGCCUGGGGAGUACGCACGCAAGUGUGAAACUCAAAGGAAUUGACGGGGACCCGCACAAGCGGUGGAACAUGUGGUUUAAUUCGAAGCAACGCGAAGAACCUUACCAGGGCUUGACAUCUAACAAACCUUUGUGAAAGCAGAGGGUGCUCUUCGGAGAAUGUUAAGACAGGUGGUGCACGGUUGUCGUCAGCUCGUGUCGUGAGAUGUUGGGUUAAGUCCCGCAACGAGCGCAACCCUCGUCGUUAGUUGGUACUAUCGGUAUACUUAUAGUAACCUCUCUAGCGAGACUGCCGGUGAUAAACCGGAGGAAGGUGAGGACGACGUCAAAUCAUCAUGCCCCUUAUGCUCUGGGCUACACACGUGUUACAAUGGCCGGUACAAUGAGCCGCCAACUCGCGAGAGUGAGCAAAUCUCUAAAAGCCGGUCUCAGUUCGGAUUGCAGUCUGCAACUCGACUGCAUGAAGUCGGAAUCGCUAGUAAACGCAGAUCAGCACGCUGCGUUGAAUACGUUCCCGGGUCUUGUACACACCGCCCGUCACACCAUGGAAGUCGACCACGCCCGAAGUACGUGAGCUAACCGUAAGGAAGCAGCGUCCUAAGGCAGGGUUGGUGACUGGGGUGAAGUCGUAACAAGGUAGCCGUACCGGAAGGUGUGGCUG
This 1029-nucleotide ribosomal RNA is filed under the name human gut metagenome. Its description in RNAcentral is "bacterial SSU rRNA". It matches the Rfam family "Bacterial small subunit ribosomal RNA", at positions 502 to 1520 of the family's 1533-position model. The record is from RNAcentral.